UUUUUUAUUUUUAAAUAGAAAUCAUUUUAGCUGGCCUACAAAUUUUCAUAUAUUUUUUCAAAUAAUAAAGAUAUUCUUAUUUUAUACACCAAAUAAUAUCCCAACUACAUUUUACAUUCAUCCCAUUUGCAUUCGAAUUUGUGUUUGGAUGAGCAAUUUACUUUUACAUGACAGAACCUAAUUUAGAGAGUACUCUAAAUAGCUAUGUUGCCGUAGUUCCACUUCAAAUAUUGAUUUUUGCUUUGUGGUAUAGCAUUUGGUUAGUCUUAGCCAUUUUUUCCUUUUAAUCACUUUUGAUGUCAUUACUUAAUCAAAUCGGAAAGCCCUUGAUUUCUCCUUAAUGAACUAUGACGCUUAUGAUUGAUGUGAAAAAAUUUUCAUAACUGCAUAAUUUGCUAUAUUUAUUGAAGAUGUUACAAGAAUGAAAAAUAUCAACACUUUUGGUGGUACAUGAGCAGAACAUCUAGAGAGGAGUAAAAACUUUUGCAUCAUCAUUUUAACAUAUUUGCUCUAGAAUAUAUUUGCUACUAAAGUCAUAAUUUCUUACAUGAUUGUAACCAUAAUUUUUCUUACAUAAUUUCUUAAAUUCAAAGAAAAUAUACAGAGAUAGUGAUCAAUAGCGAAUUGCUUUAUAUUAUGACAGUUUCUUUAUAGAUACUAGAAAUGGAUGAUGUAAUAGUGGUGCACACUGGAGGUUGCCAUAGCAAGAGCUGCUUUAUUUAGUAUAUAUAUCUAGCGAUAAUUGUUUAUAUAAGGUGUAUAAAUUUUCAAACUGAACCCACUAGAACUUGAUUUCAUAAAAACACAUAUUCUCUAGCUAAUUGAAAUGGCACAAGGUAAUAAUAGUUUCUUUUAAUGUGGAUUAGGAAUUUGAAUUUUAACAACUACAUAUAAGCUUACCAAUACAAUAAUGAUAAAUAAACACUUCAAGUUUAUUCCAAUGCCACCGGAUGGGAAUGAACCAUUGGCUUUGGACAUGGAAAGAAUGGAGAAGGGUCAGGUAUGGAUUAAUGGAGAGAGCAUAGGAAGAUACUAGAUGGCUUAUGGAAAUGCCUGUAGAUGAUGAUUUGGAGAGUUGGCAGGAGGAACAGGUUGCGGUAGUAGAUUCAUGCCAAAUUGACUGCAUUCGGAAAAAGGGUCAAGGACUUAAAAGGUUUCAUUUAUUUUGAUAUUUGUCUUUUUAACUGUUAUCAAGGCUUAAAGUAUGUGUUGAGAUAGUAAUAUUUAGAGCAUAAGUGCUCAAAUUCAAUUUGGAACACUUAUGUAGCAUUAAAAAAAUAUUUGUAUAUGUCUUUUUAACAUUAGUUA
Arachis ipaensis is the source of this 1308-nucleotide non-coding RNA. The record is from RefSeq and is a predicted model, not a curated record. Lineage: Eukaryota; Viridiplantae; Streptophyta; Magnoliopsida; Fabales; Fabaceae.